AUAUAAACAGUGUACAUUCGAUAAAAUUGGAACAAUACAGAAGAUUAGCAUGGCCCUUGCACAAGGAUGAUACGUACAAAAUCAAGGUUGCAUAAAUAUUU
Non-coding RNA from Capsicum annuum, 101 nucleotides. The record is from Rfam. NCBI's taxonomy places the organism in Eukaryota, Viridiplantae, Streptophyta, Magnoliopsida, Solanales, Solanaceae.